GGAGAAAUUCCAAUCGAACUUGGAGAUAGCUGGUUCUCUCCGAAAUAGCUUUAGGGCUAGCCUCGAGGUAAAGAGUCAUGGAGGUAGAGCACUGUUUGGACUAGGGGCCCUUCUCGGGUUACCGAAUUCAGAUAAACUCCGAAUGCCAUGUACUUAUACUCGGGAGUCAGACUGCGAGUGAUAAGAUCCGUAGUCGAAAGGGAAACAGCCCAGACCACCAGUUAAGGUCCCCAAAUAUAUGUUAAGUGGAAAAGGAUGUGGGGUUGCUUAGACAACCAGGAUGUUGGCUUAGAAGCAGCCACCAUUGAAAGAGUGCGUAAUAGCUCACUGGUCGAGUGACCCCGCGCCGAAAAUGUACCGGGGCUAAACAUAUUACCGAAACUGUGGAUGAACCUCUUUAGAGGUUCGUGGUAGGAGAGCGUUCUAAGGGCGGUGAAGUCAGACCGGAAGGACUGGUGGAGCGCUUAGAAGUGAGAAUGCCGGUAUGAGUAGCGAAAGAAGGGUGAGAAUCCCUUCCACCGAAUAUCUAAGGUUUCCUGAGGAAGGCUCGUCCGCUCA
Molecule: ribosomal RNA, 558 nt
Filed under: Escherichia coli
Lineage: Bacteria; Pseudomonadati; Pseudomonadota; Gammaproteobacteria; Enterobacterales; Enterobacteriaceae
Description: partial 23S ribosomal RNA
Rfam family: Bacterial large subunit ribosomal RNA
Source: RNAcentral